RNAcentral lists this ribosomal RNA (460 nucleotides) under uncultured bacterium. RNAcentral's name for it is "partial 16S ribosomal RNA". It matches the Rfam family "Bacterial small subunit ribosomal RNA", at positions 338 to 795 of the family's 1533-position model. The record is from RNAcentral.
CCUACGGGUGGCAGCAGUGAGGAAUAUUGGUCAAUGGACGGAAGGCUGAACCAGCCAAGCCGCGUGAGGGAGGAAGGCGCAGUGAGUUGCAGACCUCUUUUGCAGGGGGAUAAAAGGCCGGACUGGUGCGGUUCUGCGGGUACCUGGUGAAAAAGCAUCGGCUAACUCCGUGCCAGCAGCCGCGGUAAUACGGAGGAUGCGAGCGUUAUCCGGAUUCAUUGGGUUUAAGGGGUGGGGAGGCGGGUCUUUAAGUCAGUUGGGAAAUUCCGGGGGCCAACCGCAGACGGGCCUUGGAUACUGGCAGCCGUGAGUACAGUUGAGGUAGGCGGAAUUCGCUGUGUAGCGGUGAAAUGCAUAGAUAUCACGAAGAACCCCGAUUGCGAAGGCAGCGUACUGAGCCGUGACUGACACUGAUGCACGAAAGCGUGGGUAUCAAACAGGAUUAGAUACCCUAGUAGUC